UCUCCGUUGGUGAACCAGCGGAGGGAUCAUUACCGAGUUUUUCUACUCCCCAACCCCUGUGAACUUAUACCUUUACUGUUGCUUCGGCGGGUUAACGCCCCGGAAGGCCCAAAAAGCCGCCGGAACCAGGCGCCCGCCGGGGGACCCGAACUCUUGUAUUUCUUACUUUGCAUGUCUGAGUGGAAUCAUAAACAAAUGAAUCAAAACUUUCAACAACGGAUCUCUUGGUUCUG
RNAcentral lists this unclassified non-coding RNA (233 nucleotides) under plant metagenome. RNAcentral describes it as "partial contains small subunit ribosomal RNA, internal transcribed spacer 1, and 5.8S ribosomal RNA". The record is from RNAcentral.